GGUGAACGCUGGCGAUGUGCCUAAGACAUGCAAGUCGAACGCCCCGCAAGGGGAGUGGCAGACGGGUGAGUAACGCGUGGGAAUCUACCCAGUUCUACGGAACAACUGAGGGAAACUUCAGCUAAUACCGUAUACGCCCUACGGGGGAAAGAUUUAUCGGAAUUGGAUGAGCCCGCGUUGGAUUAGCUAGUUGGUGGGGUAAUGGCCUACCAAGGCGACGAUCCAUAGCUGGUCUGAGAGGAUGAUCAGCCACACUGGGACUGAGACACGGCCCAGACUCCUACGGGAGGCAGCAGUGGGGAAUAUUGGACAAUGGGCGCAAGCCUGAUCCAGCCAUGCCGCGUGAGUGAUGAAGGCCUUAGGGUUGUAAAGCUCUUUCAGUGGGGACGAUAAUGACGGUACCCACAGAAGAAGCCCCGGCUAACUUCGUGCCAGCAGCCGCGGUAA
Molecule: ribosomal RNA, 447 nt
Filed under: uncultured bacterium
Lineage: Bacteria
Description: partial 16S ribosomal RNA
Rfam family: Bacterial small subunit ribosomal RNA
Source: RNAcentral